CUUCGGGGUACACGAGCGGCGAACGGGUGAGUAACACGUGAGCAACCUGCCCCUGACUCUGGGAUAAGCGGUGGAAACGCCGUCUAAUACCGGAUACGACACACCGCCUCAUGGCGUGUGUGUGGAAAGUUUUAUCGGUCAGGGAUGGGCUCGCGGCCUAUCAGCUAGUUGGUGGGGUAAAGGCCUACCAAGGCGAUUACGGGUAGCCGGCCUGAGAGGGCGACCGGCCACACUGGGACUGAGACACGGCCCAGACUCCUGCGGGAGGCAGCAGUGGGGAAUAUUGCACAAUGGGCGAAAGCCUGAUGCAGCGACGCCGCGUGGGGGAUGACGGCCUUCGGGUUGUAAACCUCUUUUACCACCAACGCAGGCUCCACGUACUCGUGGGGUUGACGGUAGGUGGGGAAUAAGGACCGGCUAACUACGUGCCAGCAGCCGCGGUAAUACGUAGGGUCCGAGCGUUGUCCGGAAUUAUUGGGCGUAAAGAGCUCGUAGGCGGCGUGUCACGUCUGCUGUGAAAGACCGGGGCUUAACUCCGGUUCUGCAGUGGAUACGGGCAUGCUAGAGGUAGGUAGGGGAGACUGGAAUUCCUGGUGUAGCGGUGAAAUGCGCAGAUAUCAGGAGGAACACCGGUGGCGAAGGCGGGUCUCUGGGCCUUACCUGACGCUGAGGAGCGAAAG
This 680-nucleotide ribosomal RNA is filed under the name Nocardiopsis tropica. Its description in RNAcentral is "bacterial SSU rRNA". It matches the Rfam family "Bacterial small subunit ribosomal RNA", at positions 78 to 759 of the family's 1533-position model. Lineage: Bacteria; Bacillati; Actinomycetota; Actinomycetes; Streptosporangiales; Nocardiopsidaceae. The record is from RNAcentral.